This 264-nucleotide unclassified non-coding RNA is filed under the name uncultured Hypocreales. RNAcentral's name for it is "sequence contains 5.8S rRNA gene, ITS2, 28S rRNA gene". The stretch from base 1 to 52 matches the Rfam family "5.8S ribosomal RNA", at positions 103 to 154 of the family's 154-position model. Lineage: Eukaryota; Fungi; Ascomycota; Sordariomycetes; Hypocreales. The record is from RNAcentral.
AACGCACAUUGCGCCCGCCAGUAUUCUGGCGGGCAUGCCUGUUCGAGCGUCAUUUCAACCCUCAGGCCCCCAGUGCCUGGUGUUGGGGAUCGGCCCAGCCUUCUCGCAAGGCCGCCGGCCCCGAAAUCUAGUGGCGGUCUCGCUGUAGUCCUCCUCUGCGUAGUAGCACAACCUCGCAGUUGGAACGCGGCGGUGGCCAUGCCGUUAAACACCCCACUUCUGAAAGUUGACCUCGGAUCAGGUAGGAAUACCCGCUGAACUUAA